RNAcentral lists this ribosomal RNA (468 nucleotides) under uncultured bacterium. Its description in RNAcentral is "partial 16S ribosomal RNA". It matches the Rfam family "Bacterial small subunit ribosomal RNA", at positions 28 to 507 of the family's 1533-position model. The record is from RNAcentral.
GACGAACGCUGGCGGCGUGCUUAACACAUGCAAGUCGAACGGAAAGGCCCUGCUGUUGUGGGGUGCUCGAGUGGCGAACGGGUGAGUAACACGUGAGUAACCUGCCCUUGACUUUGGGACAACUUCAGGAAACUGGGGCUAAUACCGGAUAGGAGCUCCUGCUGCAUGGUGGGGGUUGGAAAGUUUCGGCGGUUGGGGAUGGACUCGCGGCUUAUCAGCUUGUUGGUGGGGUAGUGGCUUACCAAGGCUUUGACGGGUAGCCGGCCUGAGAGGGUGACCGGCAACAUUGGGACUGAGAUACGGCCCAGACUCCUACGGGAGGCAGCAGUGGGGAAUAUUGCACAAUGGGCGGAAGCCUGAUGCAGCAACGCCGCGUGCGGGAUGACGGCCUUCGGGUUGUAACCCGCUUUCGCCUGUGACGAAGCGUGAGUGACGGUAAUGGGUAAAGAAGCACCGGCUAACUACGUG